Molecule: ribosomal RNA, 255 nt
Filed under: uncultured bacterium
Lineage: Bacteria
Description: partial 16S ribosomal RNA
Rfam family: Bacterial small subunit ribosomal RNA
Source: RNAcentral
UACGUAGGGUGCAAGCGUUGUCCGGAAUUAUUGGGCGUAAAGAGCUCGUAGGCGGUCUGUCGCGUCUGCUGUGAAAACUCAGGGCUUAACCUUGAGCUUGCAGUGGGUACGGGCAGACUAGAGUGUGGUAGGGGAGACUGGAAUUCCUGGUGUAGCGGUGAAAUGCGUAGAUAUUAGGAGGAACACCAGUGGCGAAGGCGACUUUCUGGACUGUAACUGACGCUGAGGCUCGGAAAGCGUGGGGAGCAAACAGGG